RNAcentral lists this ribosomal RNA (428 nucleotides) under Acidobacteriota bacterium. RNAcentral describes it as "Acidobacteria bacterium partial 16S ribosomal RNA". It matches the Rfam family "Bacterial small subunit ribosomal RNA", at positions 355 to 776 of the family's 1533-position model. Lineage: Bacteria; Pseudomonadati; Acidobacteriota. The record is from RNAcentral.
UGGGGAAUUUUGGACAAUGGGGGAAACCCUGAUCCAGCCAUCCCGGGUGUGCGAUGAAGGCCUUCGGGUUGUAAAGCACUUUUGGCAGGAAAGAAACGUCAUGGGUUAAUACCCCGUGAAACUGACGGUACCUGCAGAAUAAGCACCGGCUAACUACGUGCCAGCAGCCGCGGUAAUACGUAGGGUGCAAGCGUUAAUCGGAAUUACUGGGCGUAAAGCGUGCGCAGGCGGUUCGGAAAGAAAGAUGUGAAAUCCCAGAGCUCAACUUUGGAACUGCAUUUUUAACUACCGGGCUAGAGUGUGUCAGAGGGAGGUGGAAUUCCGCGUGUAGCAGUGAAAUGCGUAGAUAUGGGAGGAACACCGAUGGCGAAGGCAGCCUCCUGGGAUAACACUGACGCUCAUGCACGAAAGCGUGGGGAGCAAACAGG